AGCAGCCGCGGUAAUUCCAGCUCCAAUAGCGUAUAUUAAAGUUGUUGCAGUUAAAAAGCUCGUAGUUGAAUUUCGGGAUUAAUAUGUUGGUCGUGCCUUGGUACGUACUGGCAUUAUUGAUUCCUACCUCUGAAGAACCUCGAUGUCAUUAAUUUGGUGUCUUGGGGAAUCAGGACCGUUACUUUGAAAAAAUUAGAGUGUUUAAAGCAGGCUCGCGCUUGAAUACAUUAGCAUGGAAUAAUGAAAUAGGACGUUUGAUUCUAUUUUGUUGGUUUCUAGGAUCGACGUAAUGAUUAAUAGGGAUAGUUGGGGGCAUUAGUAUUCAAUUGUCAGAGGUGAAAUUCUUGGACUUAUUGAAGACUGACUACUGCGAAAGCAUUUGCCAAGGAUGUUUUCAUUAAUCAAGAACGAAAGUUAGGGGAUCGAAGACGAUCAGAUACCGUCGUAGUCUUAACCAUAAACCUAUGCCGACUAGGGAUCGGAUGAUGUUAAUUUUUAAUGACUCAUUCGGCGCCUUAAC
RNAcentral lists this unclassified non-coding RNA (520 nucleotides) under uncultured Glomus. RNAcentral's name for it is "SSU rRNA". It matches the Rfam family "Eukaryotic small subunit ribosomal RNA", at positions 569 to 1092 of the family's 1831-position model. Lineage: Eukaryota; Fungi; Glomeromycota; Glomeromycetes; Glomerales; Glomeraceae. The record is from RNAcentral.